Molecule: long non-coding RNA, 354 nt
Filed under: Linum usitatissimum (flax)
Lineage: Eukaryota; Viridiplantae; Streptophyta; Magnoliopsida; Malpighiales; Linaceae
Description: long non-coding RNA (LUSI_LNC003868)
Source: RNAcentral
CAGCGGAGGUGGGAAGUCGCGGAGCGUAUGGGCUCAACUCUCGGAUGGCGGCGAUACCAACGAAAGGAGGGUUAGACAAAGAACCUAAUGUUUUCUUACUUUACCACUUCGAACACUUUAGACAAAGAAGGGAGGGUUAGACAAAGAACCAGCCGGGGGUUUCUGUUCUGUAUAAAUGCUGAACCUGGAAAUAGCCUAAGCUGGUGAUGGAUGUUGUUUGGAAACCUAAUCUUCUAACAGUUCCCAGUAGAUCAAGUCUUGUCUUACUGUAGCAUUUGAAGUGUAAAAAACUGGUUGACAUGAACUUAUAUUCCCCUUCAUAAUCGCACUCUGAUUUUGCUCCAUUUUCCCGAG